GGGAAACAGGUUAAUAUUCCUGUACUUGGUGUUACUGCGAAGGGGGGACGGAGAAGGCUAUGUUGGCCGGGCGACGGUUGUCCCGGUUUAAGCGUGUAGGCUGGUUUUCCAGGCAAAUCCGGAAAACCAAGGCUGAGGCGUGAUGACGAGGCACUACGGUGCUGAAGCGACAAAUGCCCUGCUUCCAGGAAAAGCCUCUAAGCAUCAGGUAACAUCAAAUCGUACCCCAAACCGACACAGGUGGUCAGGUAGAGAAUACCAAGGCGCUUGAGAGAACUCGGGUGAAGGAACUAGGCAAAAUGGUGCCGUAACUUCGGGAGAAGGCACGCUGAUAUGUAGGUGAAGCGACUUGCUCGUGGAGCUGAAAUCAGUCGAAGAUACCAGCUGGCUGCAACUGUUUAUUAAAAACACAGCACUGUGCAAACACGAAAGUGGACGUAUACGGUGUGACGCCUGCCCGGUGCCGGAAGGUUAAUUGAUGGGGUUAGCGGCAACGCGAAGCUCUUGAUCGAAGCCCCGGUAAACGGCGGCCGUAACUAUAACGGUCCUAAGGUAGCGAAAUUCCUUGUCGGGUAAGUUCCGACCUGCACGAAUGGCGUAAUGAUGGCCAGGCUGUCUCCACCCGAGACUCAGUGAAAUUGAACUCGCUGUGAAGAUGCAGUGUACCCGCGGCAAGACGGAAAGACCCCGUGAACCUUUACUAUAGCUUGACACUGAACAUUGAGCCUUGAUGUGUAGGAUAGGUGGGAGGCUUUGAAGUGUGGACGCCAGUCUGCAUGGAGCCGACCUUGAAAUACCACCCUUUAAUGUUUGAUGUUCUAACGUUGGCCCCUAAUCGGGGUUGCGGACAGUGUCUGGUGGGUAGUUUGACUGGGGCGGUCUCCUCCUAAAGAGUAACGGAGGAGCACGAAGGUUGGCUAAUCCUGGUCGGACAUCAGGAGGUUAGUGCAAUGGCAUAAGCCAGCUUGACUGCGAGCGUGACGGCGCGAGCAGGUGCGAAAGCAGGUCAUAGUGAUCCGGUGGUUCUGAAUGGAAGGGCCAUCGCUCAACGGAUAAAAGGUACUCCGGGGAUAACAGGCUGAUACCGCCCAAGAGUUCAUAUCGACGGCGGUGUUUGGCACCUCGAUGUCGGCUCAUCACAUCCUGGGGCUGAAGUAGGUCCCAAGGGUAUGGCUGUUCGCCAUUUAAAGUGGUACGCGAGCUGGGUUUAGAACGUCGUGAGACAGUUCGGUCCCUAUCUGCCGUGGGCGCUGGAGAACUGAGGGGGGCUGCUCCUAGUACGAGAGGACCGGAGUGGACGCAUCACUGGUGUUCGGGUUGUCAUGCCAAUGGCACUGCCCGGUAGCUAAAUGCGGAAGAGAUAAGUGCUGAAAGCAUCUAAGCACGAAACUUGCCCCGAGAUGAGUUCUCCCUGAGACUUAGAGUCUCCUGAAGGAACGUUGAAGACGACGACGUUGAUAGGCCGGGUGUGUAAGCGCAGCGAUGCGUUGAGCUAACCGGUACUAAUGAACCGUGAGGCUUAACCUU
Molecule: ribosomal RNA, 1527 nt
Filed under: Escherichia coli
Lineage: Bacteria; Pseudomonadati; Pseudomonadota; Gammaproteobacteria; Enterobacterales; Enterobacteriaceae
Description: partial 23S ribosomal RNA
Rfam family: Bacterial large subunit ribosomal RNA
Source: RNAcentral